UAUAAAACAAAUAAUGAAUGUUUUUAUUCGUGCAAUGGUAAGAAUAUUUUCAUUCGGUGAAAGAUGGAAUGUCGCCUCAUUGAAUGGAACAUUCCAUCUUUCACCUUAUGAAAAUAUUCUUACCAUUGCACUCAUAAACAUUCAUUGGCCGUUUUUAUA
This is a non-coding RNA of Paramuricea clavata, 159 nucleotides long. NCBI's taxonomy places the organism in Eukaryota, Metazoa, Cnidaria, Anthozoa, Malacalcyonacea, Plexauridae. The record is from the annotation of a GenBank genome assembly.